RNAcentral lists this ribosomal RNA (467 nucleotides) under Centipeda noxia. RNAcentral's name for it is "bacterial SSU rRNA". It matches the Rfam family "Bacterial small subunit ribosomal RNA", at positions 28 to 472 of the family's 1533-position model. Lineage: Bacteria; Bacillati; Bacillota; Negativicutes; Selenomonadales; Selenomonadaceae. The record is from RNAcentral.
GACGAACGCUGGCGGCGUGCUUAACACAUGCAAGUCGAACGGAGCGAAUGAAAGCUUGCUUUUAUAAGCUUAGUGGCAAACGGGUGAGUAACACGUAGGCAACCUGCCGACAGGAUGGGGACAACAUUCCGAAAGGAAUGCUAAUACCGAAUGAAGCGCAGGAGAGGCAUCUCUCCUGCGUGAAAGAUGGCCUCUAUAUAUAAGCUAUCACCUGUCGAUGGGCCUGCGUCUGAUUAGCUGGUAGGUGAGGUAACGGCUCACCUAGGCGACGAUCAGUAGCCGGUCUGAGAGGAUGAACGGCCACAUUGGGACUGAGACACGGCCCAGACUCCUACGGGAGGCAGCAGUGGGGAAUCUUCCGCAAUGGGCGCAAGCCUGACGGAGCAACGCCGCGUGAGUGAAGAAGGUCUUCGGAUCGUAAAGCUCUGUUGAUGGGGACGAACGUGCCUAAUGCGAAUAGUAUUAGG